GGUUUUGGUAAGCAGAACGGGCGAUUCGGGAUGAACCGGAAGCGGGGAGAAAGGGCCCGAGAUUGCGUCGACGCGGAUCCCGAAAAGGGCGUCGAUCCGUCGCGACAGCGGGACGGUGGUCAUGGAAGUCGAAAUCCGCUAAGAAGCGUGUAAAAACGUACCCGCCCAACGGAUCGGCCCCGAAAAUUGAUGGCGCUCGAACGCAACCCUCGAACCCCGCCGACGGAGGCUAGGGGAGGCCCCGUCGAGUAGGCGGACGCGCGGGUCGCUUCGACGCUCCCGCGCGAGCGGGGGCGGAGCGGCCCGUGGUGCAGAUCUUGGUGGUAGUAGCGAUCACCCAGGCGAGAACCCUGAGGGCCGAAGUGGAGAAGGGUUUCUCGAGAACGGCACUCGCUCGAGAGUUAGUCGAUCCUAAGCUGCCGGCGGCAGCCACGAAACGGUCGAUCGGGCGCGAGCCCGGCAGCCACGACCGGGCAGCGAAAGGGAAUUGGGAACCUCCUUCCCAAACCCGGAACCGGAACGAGGGCGGCGACG
This 534-nucleotide ribosomal RNA is filed under the name uncultured eukaryote. Its description in RNAcentral is "eukaryotic LSU rRNA". It matches the Rfam family "Eukaryotic large subunit ribosomal RNA", at positions 1133 to 1649 of the family's 3401-position model. The record is from RNAcentral.